UAAGCCCCUGAGAUGAGGUCAGACUGGUGUAUUAUCAGACUGGUGUUUUACCUACCUCUCAGUACCAUUCAUGAUUCUAAGAGAUCCAUAUAAGCCCCUGAGAUGAGGUCAGACUGGUGUAUUAUCAGACUGGUGUUUUACCUACCUCUCAGUACCAUUCAUGAUUCUAAGAGAUCCAUGUAAGCCCCUGAGAUGAGGUCAGACUGGUGUAUGGAGAGCUUCUCCAUCAAAUCUUGAGCUAUUUUUAUCCCCUCUUCUUGUGUUUGCUCCUCCUCCA
Molecule: long non-coding RNA, 277 nt
Organism: Lytechinus variegatus (green sea urchin)
Lineage: Eukaryota; Metazoa; Echinodermata; Echinoidea; Temnopleuroida; Toxopneustidae
Exons: 2
Source: RefSeq, a predicted model, not a curated record